ACGUGGGUGAUUUGCCCUGUACUUCGGGAUAAGCUUGGGAAACUGGGUCUAAUCCCGGAUAGGACCAUGGUUUAGUGUCUCCAUGGUGGAAAGAUUAUUGUUUUGGUGCAGGAUGAGCUCGCGGCCUAUCAGCUUGUUGGUGGGGUAAUGGCCUACCAAGGCGUCGACGGGUAGCCGGCCUGAGAGGGUGGACGGCCACAUUGGGACUGAGAUACGGCCCAGACUCCUACGGGAGGCAGCAGUGGGGAAUAUUGCACAAUGGGCGCAAGCCUGAUGCAGCGACGCCGCGUGGGGGAUGACGGCCUUCGGGUUGUAAACUCCUUUCGUUAGGGACGAAGCCGCACCUGUUUUUGGGUGUGGUGACGGUACCUUGUAA
RNAcentral lists this ribosomal RNA (376 nucleotides) under Corynebacterium sp. oral taxon B00. RNAcentral's name for it is "bacterial SSU rRNA". It matches the Rfam family "Bacterial small subunit ribosomal RNA", at positions 115 to 485 of the family's 1533-position model. The record is from RNAcentral. Lineage: Bacteria; Bacillati; Actinomycetota; Actinomycetes; Mycobacteriales; Corynebacteriaceae.